Pongo abelii (Sumatran orangutan) is the source of this 104-nucleotide non-coding RNA. NCBI's taxonomy places the organism in Eukaryota, Metazoa, Chordata, Mammalia, Primates, Hominidae. The record is from Rfam.
GUGCUCGCUUCGGCAGCACAUGUACUAAAAUUGGAACGAUGCAGAGAUUAGCAUGGCCCCAGCGCAAGGAUGGCACACAAAUUCAUGAUGCAUUCCAUAUUCUU